AAAGAAUAAAUGUUGUAGGGAGCAAAUAGUGUAAAUAGAACGAGGAGAAUACCACAUCCCCCAAAGAAUAAAGAAAGAUGAAGAAAACAAAACAAAGUCAUAAAACAAGGCUUUUCAAUCCCCGAUGAAUAUCAGCAGUACUCUAAAUACCCCAGCAAAUAGAACAUGAAGAGGCCACAAACAAUAACCCAUCCCAAAGAGAUUGUCUAGGAU
RNAcentral lists this long non-coding RNA (213 nucleotides) under Populus tremula. RNAcentral describes it as "long non-coding RNA (PTRE_LNC003006)". Lineage: Eukaryota; Viridiplantae; Streptophyta; Magnoliopsida; Malpighiales; Salicaceae. The record is from RNAcentral.